GACGAACGCUGGCGGCGUGCUUAACACAUGCAAGUCGAACGGAAAGGCCCUGCUUUUGUGGGGUGCUCGAGUGGCGAACGGGUGAGUAACACGUGAGUAACCUGCCCUUGACUUUGGGAUAACUUCAGGAAACUGGGGCUAAUACCGGAUAGGAGCUCCUGCUGCAUGGUGGGGGUUGGAAAGUUUCGGCGGUUGGGGAUGGACUCGCGGCUUAUCAGCUUGUUGGUGGGGUAGUGGCUUACCAAGGCUUUGACGGGUAGCCGGCCUGAGAGGGUGACCGGCCACAUUGGGACUGAGAUACGGACCAGACUCCUACGGGAGGCAGCAGUGGGAAAUAUUGCACAAUGGGCGGAAGCCUGAUGCAGCAACGCCGCGUGCGGGAUGACGGCCUUCGGGGUGUAAACCGCUUUCGCCUGUGACGAAGCGUGAGUGACGGUAAUGGGUAAAGAAGCACCGGCUAACUACGUG
This 468-nucleotide ribosomal RNA is filed under the name uncultured bacterium. RNAcentral describes it as "partial 16S ribosomal RNA". It matches the Rfam family "Bacterial small subunit ribosomal RNA", at positions 28 to 507 of the family's 1533-position model. The record is from RNAcentral.